CAAUGACUCUUUUUCCUCCUCCUCUCUUCCAGUCCAGUUACCAUAGCACCAUGUAACCAUGGUAGGAUAAUUUUGGUGGAAUAUUCACACGUGGAUUUAAGAUUCAGUCCUUACUUUAUUUGUGAAGCAAGCAAUCUGAUUCACGUUAGCAUUCUGGACAAUCUCUAAUGGACUAUAAAUUCCUGGCCUCCCAUGCUCUAUUCAACACCAAGAGAAAGCCUCCUGAGGAAAUGACUCUCAAGGGAUUUUUUUUUCCAUCCAGAAAGUACGGGCAGCUAGAGUAAUGAAAAGUUGUGAAACAAACAAACAAACAAACCCUCCAUCAUGUCACAGUGAUAAAAAUAAAUUCCAAAAUACCACCGAAAGACAUUUGAAAGAUGUUCUAAAGUUCUCUGAGAAAGAAGGGGAAGGGUUAGAAGGAAACCAUCCUUAUUUUAUCAAGGGAAACAAUGUUUUGGGAAACUGGGCAAAUAUAUUUUAUCACAGUGCUAUUUUUUAUUUUAGACCAAAGGCAGGUGAUCAUGAAAAAGAAAAGGGCUGUCAUAGUACAAAUAAAAAUGAAAGCUUUUUGAAGGGCAUCUUUAUUUUCUGUUCUUCAUACUAGAACUAAAAGCUAACUAAUGAAAUGGAUUACUAGGAAGUUAAGAACAAAGAAUAUAAUAAUUUUAAAUAUUGUCUAAAAUGCAUGAAGGAAUCAUAAAUUAUACUGUGCAUGUGUUCAAACUCAUACUAUAUGUAAGUAGAAUGCCAUUAUAGGAGACCAUAAACAGAAACAUUGUCUCUGC
Non-coding RNA from Pantherophis guttatus, 785 nucleotides. The record is from RefSeq and is a predicted model, not a curated record. Lineage: Eukaryota; Metazoa; Chordata; Lepidosauria; Squamata; Colubridae.